Molecule: ribosomal RNA, 441 nt
Filed under: uncultured bacterium
Lineage: Bacteria
Description: partial 16S ribosomal RNA
Rfam family: Bacterial small subunit ribosomal RNA
Source: RNAcentral
CCUACGGGUGGCUGCAGUGGGGAAUCUUGCACAAUGGGGGGAACCCUGAUGCAGCGACGCCGCGUGGGUGAAGGAGUGCUUCGGCAUGUAAAGCCCUAUCGGCAGGGAAGAAGCAAGACGAUACCUGACUAAGAAGCCCCGGCUAACUACGUGCCAGCAGCCGCGGUAAUACGUAGGGGUCGAGCGUUAUCCGGAUUCACUGGGUGUAACGGGAGCGUAGACGGCCAUGCAAGCCAGGGGUGAAAGCCCGGGGCCCAACCCCGGGACUGCCCUUGGAACUGUUCGGCUAGAGUGCGGGAGGGGCAGGCGGAAUUCCUGGUGUAGCGGUGAAAUGCGUAGAUAUCAGGAGGAACACCGGCGGCGAAGGCGGCCUGCUGGACCGCGACUGACGUUGAGGCUCGAAAGCGUGGGGAGCGAACAGGAUUAGAUACCCGGGUAGUC